CGCGCGUAGGUGGCUAAGUCAGCCAGGUGUGAAAGCCCCGGGCUCAACCUGGGAACGGCAUCUGGAACUGCUUGGCUAGAGUGCAGGAGAGGAAGGUAGAAUUCCCGGUGUAGCGGUGAAAUGCGUAGAGAUCGGGAGGAAUACCAGUGGCGAAGGCGGCCUUCUGGACUGACACUGACACUGAGGUGCGAAAGCGUGGGUAGCAAACAGGAUUAGAUACCCUGGUAGUCCACGCCGUAAACGAUGUCAACUAGCCGUUGGGUCCCUUGAGGACUUAGUGGCGCAGCUAACGCAAUAAGUUGACCGCCUGGGGAGUACGGCCGCAAGGUUAAAACUCAAAUGAAUUGACGGGGGCCCGCACAAGCGGUGGAGCAUGUGGUUUAAUUCGAUGCAACGCGAAGAACCUUACCUACCCUUGACAUCCAGAGGACUUUCCAGAGAUGGAUUGGUGCCUUCGGGAACUCUGAGACAGGUGCUGCAUGGCUGUCGUCAGCUCGUGUUGUGAAAUGUUGGGUUAAGUCCCGUAACGAGCGCAACCCCUAUCCUUAUUUGCCAGCGAGUAAUGUCGGGAACUCUAAGGAGACUGCCGGUGACAAACCGGAGGAAGGUGGGGACGACGUCAAGUCAUCAUGGCCCUUACGGGUAGGGCUACACACGUGCUACAAUGGCAAGUACAAAGGGUUGCAAUACUGCGAAGUGGAGCCAAUCCCAUAAAGCUUGCCUCAGUCCGGAUUGGAGUCUGCAACUCGACUCCAUGAAGUCGGAAUCGCUAGUAAUCGUGGAUCAGAAUGCCACGGUGAAUACGUUCCCGGGCCUUGUACACACCGCCCGUCACACCAUGGGAGUGGACUGCACCAGAAGUGGUUAGCC
This 870-nucleotide ribosomal RNA is filed under the name Cobetia sp. RNAcentral describes it as "bacterial SSU rRNA". It matches the Rfam family "Bacterial small subunit ribosomal RNA", at positions 566 to 1435 of the family's 1533-position model. Lineage: Bacteria; Pseudomonadati; Pseudomonadota; Gammaproteobacteria; Oceanospirillales; Halomonadaceae. The record is from RNAcentral.